Molecule: long non-coding RNA, 615 nt
Organism: Cyprinus carpio (common carp)
Lineage: Eukaryota; Metazoa; Chordata; Actinopteri; Cypriniformes; Cyprinidae
Exons: 5
Source: RefSeq, a predicted model, not a curated record
CAGCCUUUCGUUUGAGAGACACCCAGAGAUAAGAUUUGUUGAACUGAAAAAGGCUCUGAAUGAGGAGUCGAUUAUUCUCCUUGAUGGAAUCGAUUCCUUUGGAUUCGACUCUCGAUUCCUAACGCCUCCGGAUUUCCAACAUUCCCACAUUCCCACAUUUCCCAGCCCUUCAGCGAGGACACUACGCAGAUAGAAAGAGUAGCUCGCUGGAUUUGUCCAUUUUAUGUCCUAGAAAACAUUUGUACCGGUCACACUGAACAGCAGAUUGUUGUCUCAAGCCAGUGCUGAUCAAUGACAGUUUAGCUGCAGUAUGUCAGAGAAGAGAGGAAAGAUGAGUCUCUCACAGAAACAGAGGUCACACUGAACAGCAGAUUGUUGUCUCAAGCCAGUGCUGAUCAAUGUCAGUUUAGCUGCAGUAUGACAGAGAAGAGAGGAAAGAUGAGUCUCUCACAGAAACAGAGUGUAAGAUCAGGAUCACAUGUGUCUGUGAAGAGUGACCGGUCAAAGGAUGGUGACGUACCAGACUUCAGUGAGGAAAAAACAUCUAUUAAAAGUGUAAGAUCAGGCUCACAUGUGUCCAGCUGUGUGUCUGUGAAGAGUGACCAGUCAAAGGGU